RNAcentral lists this ribosomal RNA (498 nucleotides) under uncultured bacterium. RNAcentral's name for it is "partial 16S ribosomal RNA". It matches the Rfam family "Bacterial small subunit ribosomal RNA", at positions 28 to 507 of the family's 1533-position model. The record is from RNAcentral.
GACGAACGCUGGCGGCGUGCCUAAUACAUGCAAGUCGAACGAGAGCGACCGGUGCUUGCACUGGUCAAUCUAGUGGCGAACGGGUGAGUAACACGUGGGUAACCUGCCCAUCAGAGGGGGAUAACAUUCGGAAACGGAUGCUAAAACCGCAUAGGUCUUCGAACCGCAUGGUUUGUAGAGGAAAAGAGGCGCAAGCUUCUGCUGAUGGAUGGACCCGCGGUGCAUUAGCUAGUUGGUGAGGUAACGGCUCACCAAGGCCGUGAUGCAUAGCCGACCUGAGAGGGUGAUCAGCCACAUUGGAACUGAGACACGGCCCAAACUCCUACGGGAGGCAGCAGUAGGGAAUAUUCCGCAAUGGACGCAAGUCUGACGCAGCAACGCCGCGUGAGUGAAGAAGGUUUUCGGAUCGUAAAACUCUGUUGUUAGAGAAGAACAAGUGCUAGAGUAACUGUUAGCGCCUUGACGGUAUCUAACCAGAAAGCCACGGCUAACUACGUG